Long non-coding RNA from Oryctolagus cuniculus (rabbit), 2533 nucleotides. Lineage: Eukaryota; Metazoa; Chordata; Mammalia; Lagomorpha; Leporidae. The record is from Ensembl.
GGAACCACCAAAGGGUGCCGGGGAGGGGGGAGAGAAAGGGAUUCCCUCACCUAUUCCGGCCCAUUCUUCCUGAAUUUCCACCAGGAGGAGGCGCGCAGCCCGGCUCCCCGGGAGCCCUCGUCCUCAAUCCUCCUACCUAGGCUGCCGAGGCCGGCCGCGCAGCCCGAGUCCCCGCGGCAGGCCCGGCCCUCCGCCUCCGCCUCCCCCUCCCCCUGGGUUGGUUCUGCCCAGCUGCGGAGGUUGGGCCAGGGGCUGGGGUGCGAGGCGAGUCGGCGCCCGCAGCGCGGAGCCGGGAAGUCGCCGCCACUCUGCUGGGACGCGGAGUUGGCUCCGAGGCGGCGCGCGCGCACGGAGGUCGCGCCGCGGAGCCAGCGAGAGGCGCCAACAAAAGCGGCGAGGCGGUGCCACCCCGGACCGCGGCAGGUAGAGGAGCCGGAGGAGGAGCGCGAGCCCACCGUCCCGAGCCGCCGUGCGUACUUUCUGGAGGGCAGGGCAGCGCGGGGGACUCGGCCCCGGGAGGGGGGACGCCCGCGGCGCGGGGGUGAGCCAAGUUCCGGCGGCGGCGGCGGCGGCGGCGGCUCUCCUCCGCUCCCACGAGAGGAAAGUUUCUGCAGACGCUUCCGGCCAGCCCGCGCCCUCCGGCCCAGCCUCCCGAGCCUUCGGAGCGGGCGUCGUCCCAGCCCAGCUCCGGGGAGAGCGAGCCGCGAUGCCUGGGGCGUGCUCCCGGGGCCCCGCCGCCGGGGACGGGCGGCUGCGGCUCGCGCGCCUGGCGCUGGUCCUCUUGGGCUGGGUCUCCUCGCCCUCUCCCACCUCCUCGGCGUCCUCCUCCACCUCCUCGGCGUCGUCCCUGGCCUCCGAGGUGUCUGCUCAGCCCCCGCUGCCGGGCCAAUGCCCCCCGCCCUGCGAGUGCUCCGAGGCGGCGCGCACCGUCAAGUGCGUGAACCGCAACCUGACCGAGGUGCCCGCCGACCUGCCCCCGUACGUGCGCAACCUCUUCCUCACCGGCAACCAGCUGGCGGUGCUGCCCGCGGGCGCCUUCGUCCGCCGGCCACCGCUGGCGGAGCUGGCCGCGCUCAACCUCAGCGGCAGCCGCCUGGAGGAGGUCCGCGCCGGCGCCUUCGAGCACCUGCCCAGCCUGCGCCAGCUCGACCUCAGCCACAACCCGCUGCCCACCUCAGCCCCUUCGCUUUCUCUGGCAGCAACGCCAGCGUCUCGGCCCCCAGCCCCUUGAUGGAACUGAUGCUGAACCACAUCGUGCCCCCGGCGGAGCAGCGGCAGAACCAGAGCUUGGAGGGCAUGGUGGCCGCGGCCCUGCGUGCGGGCCAUGCGCUGCGUGGACUCAGUCGCCUGGAGCUGGCCAGCAACCAUCUCCUGUACCUGCCCCGGGACUUGCUGGCCUACCUGCCGGGCCUCACACACCUGGACCUGCGUAACAAUUCGCUGUCACUGUGGAAAGAAAGAAGAUCCAAGUGCACCGUGAUUGUUUCCUUAGGAAUUGUUUCAUUCUGUCCCUUUUGGCCUGAUGUUGUAAGAUGGGCUCAGCUUGCUGAGGAUAGUCCAGGAUUUGCAACUUUAGUAUAUUUCAAUGAGGACCCAUGAAUCCUUUCUUCAGUUAAUUCAACCUAUAUUUAUUAAACACUUGAUACCUAUCAGAAUUGUUGUUGCUCUGUAUCUUACAAAAUGAGUUUGUCAUUUGAAAUUGCAUCUGAUCUAGUAAUAAGUAAUGACAAUAACCAACAUUUUAAUGAGUGUUUACUACGAGUCAGGCACAAGACAGAGCUAUAUAGAAGGUCUUAUUUCUUCUCAUUUGAAGGGAAAACUGAAGCUUUGCAAGAACAGAUAAUGUUCCCAAGGACAACUAGGUAGUAAGACUCAGAUUUGGGAUUUGCAUUGCUAUGUUUUGAGGUAAGAAUGGGACUAUCUCCGGGCCCCAUGUUUUCCACACCUGAGCUUUAAGAUGCGAAUGGCUGUUGUAGGCCACAACGUGAGGAGCAUGGACCAGAGAUUCAAACAGUGUGAGAUAACUUUAAAGCACAGAUCUUAUUUUGUUGGGAGAUUUUGCAAAAGGGUUUAUGCUAGAGUUAGCUAUAAAAAUGUUUUGAAGGAAGAGGAAACUUGAAAUGGUGAAUGGGAGACAAAACUCAGGUCAAGAAGGGACAACACUUGCAAAGAGUAGAGGCAGUUGGAGACUGAGUGUGCUCAAGGAACAGUAGCAUGUGAGGCAUAAUGUAUAGAGAGAACAGUGGAGAGUAAGAAAGAUAAAUCUGUAACUAUGAGAGUUUCCAUUUAAUUCACUGGACAGUGAGGAAGCAACUAGAAGUCUAUGAGCAGGGGGGUAAAUGAAUAACUGUGUCUGUGUCCCCACUCCCAAACCAGAUGGGAUCAAUCCCCUUCUCACAUUGGUGUAAGUAUCAAGAAUGUUGACAACACAUAUGCAUCAACAAGGUAGAAACAGGUCAAUUUCGUUGCACAGUGGCACUUCCUGGGGAGAGCAGGACUUGUCUGUGUGUUUUCGUUGUGAUUGUGGAUGAGG